UUAAGCGACUAAGCGUACACGGUGGAUGCCCUGGCAGUCAGAGGCGAUGAAGGACGUGCUAAUCUGCGAUAAGCGUCGGUGAGGUGAUAUGAACCGUUAUAACCGGCGAUUUCCGAAUGGGGAAACCCAGUGUGUUUCGACACACUAUCAUUAACUGAAUCCAUAGGUUAAUGAGGCGAACCGGGGGAACUGAAACAUCUAAGUACCCCGAGGAAAAGAAAUCAACCGAGAUUCCCCCAGUAGCGGCGAGCGAACGGGGAGGAGCCCAGAGCCUGAAUCAGUGUGUGUGUUAGUGGAAGCGUCUGGAAAGGCGCGCGAUACAGGGUGACAGCCCCGUACACAAAAAUGCACAUACUGUGAGCUCGAUGAGUAGGGCGGGACACGUGGUAUCCUGUCUGAAUAUGGGGGGACCAUCCUCCAAGGCUAAAUACUCCUGACUGACCGAUAGUGAACCAGUACCGUGAGGGAAAGGCGAAAAGAACCCCGGCGAGGGGAGUGAAAAAGAACCUGAAACCGUGUACGUACAAGCAGUGGGAGCCUCUUAAUGGGGUGACUGCGUACCUUUUGUAUAAUGGGUCAGCGACUUAUAUUCUGUAGCAAGGUUAACCGAAUAGGGGAGCCGAAGGGAAACCGAGUCUUAACUGGGCGUUAAGUUGCAGGGUAUAGACCCGAAACCCGGUGAUCUAGCCAUGGGCAGGUUGAAGGUUGGGUAACACUAACUGGAGGACCGAACCGACUAAUGUUGAAAAAUUAGCGGAUGACUUGUGGCUGGGGGUGAAAGGCCAAUCAAACCGGGAGAUAGCUGGUUCUCCCCGAAAGCUAUUUAGGUAGCGCCUCGUGAAUUCAUCUCCGGGGGUAGAGCACUGUUUCGGCAAGGGGGUCAUCCCGACUUACCAACCCGAUGCAAACUGCGAAUACCGGAGAAUGUUAUCACGGGAGACACACGGCGGGUGCUAACGUCCGUCGUGAAGAGGGAAACAACCCAGACCGCCAGCUAAGGUCCCAAAGUCAUGGUUAAGUGGGAAACGAUGUGGGAAGGCCCAGACAGCCAGGAUGUUGGCUUAGAAGCAGCCAUCAUUUAAAGAAAGCGUAAUAGCUCACUGGUCGAGUCGGCCUGCGCGGAAGAUGUAACGGGGCUAAACCAUGCACCGAAGCUGCGGCAGCGACACUAUGUGUUGUUGGGUAGGGGAGCGUUCUGUAAGCCUGUGAAGGUGGCCUGUGAGGGUUGCUGGAGGUAUCAGAAGUGCGAAUGCUGACAUAAGUAACGAUAAAGCGGGUGAAAAGCCCGCUCGCCGGAAGACCAAGGGUUCCUGUCCAACGUUAAUCGGGGCAGGGUGAGUCGACCCCUAAGGCGAGGCCGAAAGGCGUAGUCGAUGGGAAACAGGUUAAUAUUCCUGUACUUGGUGUUACUGCGAAGGGGGGACGGAGAAGGCUAUGUUGGCCGGGCGACGGUUGUCCCGGUUUAAGCGUGUAGGCUGGUUUUCCAGGCAAAUCCGGAAAACCAAGGCUGAGGCGUGAUGACGAGGCACUACGGUGCUGAAGCGACAAAUGCCCUGCUUCCAGGAAAAGCCUCUAAGCAUCAGGUAACAUCAAAUCGUACCCCAAACCGACACAGGUGGUCAGGUAGAGAAUACCAAGGCGCUUGAGAGAACUCGGGUGAAGGAACUAGGCAAAAUGGUGCCGUAACUUCGGGAGAAGGCACGCUGAUAUGUAGGUGAAGCGACUUGCUCGUGGAGCUGAAAUCAGUCGAAGAUACCAGCUGGCUGCAACUGUUUAUUAAAAACACAGCACUGUGCAAACACGAAAGUGGACGUAUACGGUGUGACGCCUGCCCGGUGCCGGAAGGUUAAUUGAUGGGGUUAGCGGCAACGCGAAGCUCUUGAUCGAAGCCCCGGUAAACGGCGGCCGUAACUAUAACGGUCCUAAGGUAGCGAAAUUCCUUGUCGGGUAAGUUCCGACCUGCACGAAUGGCGUAAUGAUGGCCAGGCUGUCUCCACCCGAGACUCAGUGAAAUUGAACUCGCUGUGAAGAUGCAGUGUACCCGCGGCAAGACGGAAAGACCCCGUGAACCUUUACUAUAGCUUGACACUGAACAUUGAGCCUUGAUGUGUAGGAUAGGUGGGAGGCUUUGAAGUGUGGACGCCAGUCUGCAUGGAGCCGACCUUGAAAUACCACCCUUUAAUGUUUGAUGUUCUAACGUUGGCCCGUAAUCCGGGUUGCGGACAGUGUCUGGUGGGUAGUUUGACUGGGGCGGUCUCCUCCUAAAGAGUAACGGAGGAGCACGAAGGUUGGCUAAUCCUGGUCGGACAUCAGGAGGUUAGUGCAAUGGCAUAAGCCAGCUUGACUGCGAGCGUGACGGCGCGAGCAGGUGCGAAAGCAGGUCAUAGUGAUCCGGUGGUUCUGAAUGGAAGGGCCAUCGCUCAACGGAUAAAAGGUACUCCGGGGAUAACAGGCUGAUACCGCCCAAGAGUUCAUAUCGACGGCGGUGUUUGGCACCUCGAUGUCGGCUCAUCACAUCCUGGGGCUGAAGUAGGUCCCAAGGGUAUGGCUGUUCGCCAUUUAAAGUGGUACGCGAGCUGGGUUUAGAACGUCGUGAGACAGUUCGGUCCCUAUCUGCCGUGGGCGCUGGAGAACUGAGGGGGGCUGCUCCUAGUACGAGAGGACCGGAGUGGACGCAUCACUGGUGUUCGGGUUGUCAUGCCAAUGGCACUGCCCGGUAGCUAAAUGCGGAAGAGAUAAGUGCUGAAAGCAUCUAAGCACGAAACUUGCCCCGAGAUGAGUUCUCCCUGAGACUUAGAGUCUCCUGAAGGAACGUUGAAGACGACGACGUUGAUAGGCCGGGUGUGUAAGCGCAGCGAUGCGUUGAGCUAACCGGUACUAAUGAACCGUGAGGCUUAACCUU
RNAcentral lists this ribosomal RNA (2902 nucleotides) under Escherichia coli. RNAcentral describes it as "bacterial LSU rRNA". It matches the Rfam family "Bacterial large subunit ribosomal RNA". Lineage: Bacteria; Pseudomonadati; Pseudomonadota; Gammaproteobacteria; Enterobacterales; Enterobacteriaceae. RNAcentral also lists the same sequence under 4 other names. The record is from RNAcentral.